Molecule: ribosomal RNA, 253 nt
Filed under: uncultured bacterium
Lineage: Bacteria
Description: partial 16S ribosomal RNA
Rfam family: Bacterial small subunit ribosomal RNA
Source: RNAcentral
GACGUAGGAGGCGAGCGUUAUCCGGAUUCACUGGGCGUAAAGCGCAUGUAGGCGGAUGUCUAAGUCGUGUGUUAAAGCCCCUGGCUCAACUGGGGGAGGUCAUGCGAGACUGGAUGACUUGAGGGCAACAGAGGCACGUGGAACUCCCGGUGUAGCGGUGGAAUGCGUAGAUAUCUGGAGGAAUACCGGUGGCGAAGGCGGCAUCCUGGACCGACAUUGACGCUGAUGAGCGAAAGCUAGGGGAGCAAACGGG